Astatotilapia calliptera (eastern happy) is the source of this 453-nucleotide long non-coding RNA. The record is from Ensembl. NCBI's taxonomy places the organism in Eukaryota, Metazoa, Chordata, Actinopteri, Cichliformes, Cichlidae.
GCAGUCUUGUCAUGGUCAGAGUUGCCCACUCAUAUUUAACUAAUUCAAAUACAAUUACUCCAUUUAAAUGCUUAUGUUCUAAUAAAAGGCAUCGUUUAAUACUUCUGCCAUGACAACCCAAAUAAAUCAAUGAGAGGGAAACGGGAAGAUUAGUCAUCAGGCAAGGUUUACUGUUCAUUUACCAUGCCUUGAUAACAGUAAGCUUAACAAAAGAAAAAUGUUGGCGACGAGAACAGGUGUUCUGUCAAAACAUCCUACCGUAGCGUAAAUUUAUAGUCUUGUCUAUCAAUCCGUGCUAACUUAUCAGAAUAUGCUACCUUACGUGGUUAAUGGCUCCGUUGUAUAGGUAGCGUGUUCAGAUGGCCCAAUCACACUAUUAAAACAUGCUUCCUGCUGGGAUUUAUAUAGGUAGCGUGUUCAGAUGGCCCAAUCACACUAUUAAAACAUGCUUCC